CCCGCACAUUGACUCUGUACCGGUACCCCCCUGUAUAUAGCCCCUGUAUAUAGUCUCUAUAUUGUUAUUUUACUGCUGCUCUUUAAUGACUUGUUCCUCUUAUUUCUUAUUCUUAUUCAUAUUUUAUUUAAACUGCAUUGUUGUUUAGGGGCUUGUAAGUAAGCAUUUCACUGUAAGGUCUAAACCUGUUGUAUUCAGCAUUUCACUGUAAGGUCUAAACCUGUUGUAUUCAGCAUUUCACUGUGAGGUCUAAACCUGUUGUAUUCGGCAUUUCACUGUAAGGUCUAAACCUGUUGUAUUCAGCAUUUCACUGUAAGGUCUAACACCUGUUGUAUUCAUCAUUUCACUGUGAGGUCUAAACCUGUUGUAUUCAGCAUUUCACUGUGAGGUCUAAACCUGUUGUAUUCAUCAUUUCACUGUAAGGUCUACUACACCUGUUGUAUUCAGCAUUUCACUGUAAGGUCUAAACCUGUUGUAUUCGGAAUUUCACUGUAAGGUCUAAACCUGUUGUAUUCGGCGCAGGUGACUGAUAAAAUUUGAUUGGAUUUGGUUCGAUUCCAGGCUGUAUCACAACCGGACGUGAUUGGGAGUCCCAUAGGACGGCGUACAAUUGGUCCAGCGUCGUCUGGGUUUGGGUUUGACCGGGGGUAGGCCGUUAUUGAAAAUAAGAAUUUGUUCUUAUUAACUGACUUGCCUAGUUGAAUAAAGGUUAAUGUAAAAAAAAAAAAAAC
This 731-nucleotide long non-coding RNA is filed under the name Salmo salar (Atlantic salmon). RNAcentral's name for it is "lncRNA (ENSSSAG00000099358.1)". The record is from RNAcentral. Lineage: Eukaryota; Metazoa; Chordata; Actinopteri; Salmoniformes; Salmonidae.